CUUCGUAAACCGUUGCUGUGAUUUCGCGCUUGCUCAUUUUAAUAUAUUCUGUGAUUUAAAAUGUAUCAUUUUAAUAUUCUGUGAUUUAGUUUUUUUUUUCGUCAUUUCUUUUGUUAAAUUUUUCGUCAAAUUGGUGAUAAAGCUAAAACCACUUAGUACGAAAGUAAAAAUUUGAUAAACUAUAUGAUACUAAAGUGAAUAUUCGAUAAAUCAUAGGUGGUGUAUAUGAAGUUUUUUAUAUAUGAUUUAACUGAGAGUUAACAAAUGGAGUGACUGAAAAAAAAAAUCACAAAAUAUUAAAGUGAUACGUUAUAAACUAUAGAGUAUUGAAGUGAGAAAGCGCGAAAUUAUAGGGAUGGUAUUUGAAGUUUACCUUAAAAAAAAAAUAUUUAAGAAAGAAUUUUAGAAAUUAGUUGGAAACGUAAAACAGUUAGACUUCGAACUGAUGAGUGAUGACAUAGAAUACCAACCAUCAAUCCUUUGCCACUGUGAUGAGGAUGGUCGUUAACGUAAA
RNAcentral lists this long non-coding RNA (514 nucleotides) under Ananas comosus (pineapple). Its description in RNAcentral is "long non-coding RNA (ACOM_LNC006253)". The record is from RNAcentral. Lineage: Eukaryota; Viridiplantae; Streptophyta; Magnoliopsida; Poales; Bromeliaceae.